Molecule: unclassified non-coding RNA, 194 nt
Filed under: uncultured Clavariaceae
Lineage: Eukaryota; Fungi; Basidiomycota; Agaricomycetes; Agaricales; Clavariaceae
Also listed under: 1 other name
Description: sequence contains ITS2
Source: RNAcentral
UUAUUCUCAAACUUCAGAGUUUUGUGGACUCUGAAGCUUUGGAUAUGGAGGGACUUGCUGGCUUCAUGUUGCUGGCUCCUCUCAAAUGUAUUAGCGGAACUGUCAAUGUCUUGGCUCUGGUUUGAUACAUAUCUAUGCCAUUGCUGAGGAGCUUUCAAUGAUGGUUCAGCUUUCAAACCUUUUUGUCUCUGAAA